UCUCAGUUCCACCAGGGAUGCGGCACAGCAUCGGUGAUUACUGUAGCCGAUAUGAGCAGUUCCUACGGAUCAUUUCUCAUGAGGCUAUAGGCUCCUUCAACCCAUGGCUAAUAGCUGAAAGGCAAUGUGAAAUGGGAUUUACAGGAACCACUGGGAAUACUUUUGUAUUUGAUAUGAACAUAGUAGACUAUUUACCACCUCGGAGAAAAAUAAAUGCUAAUAAACCUAA
This 229-nucleotide long non-coding RNA is filed under the name Rattus norvegicus (Norway rat). Its description in RNAcentral is "long non-coding RNA NONRATT005652". Lineage: Eukaryota; Metazoa; Chordata; Mammalia; Rodentia; Muridae. The record is from RNAcentral.